UACAGAGGAUGCAAGCGUUAUCCGGAAUGAUUGGGCGUAAAGCGUCUGUAGGUGGCUUUUUAAGUCCGCCGUCAAAUCCCAGGGCUCAACUCUGGACAGGCGGUGGAAACUACCAAGCUGGAGUACGGUAGGGGCAGAGGGAAUUUCCGGUGGAGCGGUGAAAUGCGUAGAGAUCGGAAAGAACACCAACGGCGAAAGCGGCUACCUGGACAAUUGCUGACGCUCAGGCACGAAAGCGUGGGGAGCAAAAGGG
This 253-nucleotide ribosomal RNA is filed under the name uncultured bacterium. RNAcentral's name for it is "partial 16S ribosomal RNA". It matches the Rfam family "Bacterial small subunit ribosomal RNA", at positions 524 to 776 of the family's 1533-position model. The record is from RNAcentral.